GACCAGGUAGCUCAAUUGGUAGAGCGUCCGUCUAGAGUUCGGAAAGUCCCGGGUUCGAACCCCGGUCUGGCCG
RNAcentral lists this transfer RNA (73 nucleotides) under Mizuhopecten yessoensis (Yesso scallop). RNAcentral describes it as "tRNA-Ser". It matches the Rfam family "tRNA". From Rfam's summary of the family: Transfer RNA (tRNA) molecules are approximately 80 nucleotides in length. Their secondary structure includes four short double-helical elements and three loops (D, anti-codon, and T loops). The record is from Rfam by way of RNAcentral. Lineage: Eukaryota; Metazoa; Mollusca; Bivalvia; Pectinida; Pectinidae.